Molecule: long non-coding RNA, 596 nt
Filed under: Callithrix jacchus (white-tufted-ear marmoset)
Lineage: Eukaryota; Metazoa; Chordata; Mammalia; Primates; Cebidae
Description: lncRNA (ENSCJAG00000083634.1)
Source: RNAcentral
GUUGAACUCAUUUAUGCCCUGUGCUUCAGCUGCUUGUUCCAAUAACUUAUUCCAUAUGUUUAUUUCCUUUAGUGUGAAAAGAUUUGGCUCAAGCUUUCUUUUUUAUUUAUAGUUUCCUGAGUUUUCAGUCCUGUCUCUGCUCGCCUGCUCCCUUUCCCGUACGCACACACCCGGGAGUGUGAAGGAGCAAGUGCCGACAGCUACAACCGCGAUUCACAGGUUCUUGAAAGGGUUGCUGUUGUUUCCGGACAGUCAUCCCGGGCUGCUGUCCCCAGGCCAUCGAGGCCGACUGCUUAGCCUGCAGCCUGGGCCUGCACUCCUGAGACACUCCGCUGCUAUCCGACUGGGUCCAUGCCCUCUCGCUCCUCAGGUUGGAGUACAGUGGCGUGAUCUUGACUCACCGCAGCCUCCGCCUCCCUGCUUCAAGAGAUUCCCCUGCCUGAGCCUCCCGUGGUCUAUUUAUUUGUUAACCAACUUUAUGUUAUUGCUAUUACGGGGUAUAGCACAUUCCUGAAUGUUCUCUGGGGCUCUCAAAGGGAACUUAGAUAGUAAAGCCUUAAAACAGCACUCGGGACUUAACAAAAAUUGCCUUGUCU